RNAcentral lists this ribosomal RNA (581 nucleotides) under Archaeochlus sp. SRM-2009. RNAcentral's name for it is "eukaryotic LSU rRNA". It matches the Rfam family "Eukaryotic large subunit ribosomal RNA", at positions 444 to 900 of the family's 3401-position model. Lineage: Eukaryota; Metazoa; Arthropoda; Insecta; Diptera; Chironomidae. The record is from RNAcentral.
UUCAAUAUCGUUGCUUGCAACGAUGUGCACUUUUCCCUUAGUAAGACGUUGUGAUCCAUUAGGAAUUGUUUGCACUCGAUGUAAACGUUGGGCUACCGAUAGGUUUGUGUGAAGUUCACGGUGACAAACGACUAUGAUCGCUACGAUCUGGUGUAUUGUCCUGUGAGCACAUGAUGCUCUGUUGUAGCUGCCUGAUGGGUUUUAAAGGUCAUAUCAUUGAUGCUUGCAUCACCAGUUCGCUGGACAUGGAUAUGUGCCUGAUCAACAACGGUUAAAUUUGAGAUACCUUUGGGACCCGUCUUGAAACACGGACCAAGGAGUCUAUCUAGUAUGCGAGUGAAUGGGUAUCACAUGAAACCUAUUCGCGGAAAUAACUUGACUGUUAUGGGAUUACGAGUUUGUGUCUGUUAAGGGCCAUCUCCUCCAUCCCGGGGUAUUUGCAUAACAUUGCUAGCAAUAGCAAUAGCGAAUAUACCAUGAGCAUACUGGAUAUGACCCGAAAGAUGGUGAACUAUGCCUGAUCAGGUUGAAGUCAGGGGAAACCCUGAUGGAGGACCGAAGCAAUUCUGACGUGCAAAUCG